Molecule: long non-coding RNA, 962 nt
Organism: Mercurialis annua (annual mercury)
Lineage: Eukaryota; Viridiplantae; Streptophyta; Magnoliopsida; Malpighiales; Euphorbiaceae
Exons: 3
Source: RefSeq, a predicted model, not a curated record
UUCGUUUUAAACAAAACCCUAGCCGACCUUUUCAUAUAUAACGCUCUGAGACAUCAUCUUCAACAUUCCUUUCGUUCGUUCUCUAUACGCUUUAAUCUGAGAUUUUCUUCGAUCAUUCAUCUCUAUUCAUCGUCCUCGUUAAUCCCUACGUGUUGGAAUCAAAAACGACUCGUCGACUGUUCGUACUUCAGAGGCGAACCAGAGUUAGAUUACUUGCCAGGUUUCACGUGGAAUAGCAAGCAGUGAGUUUAUAUCUCUAUUUACCUCUUUAUUAAGCAAAUAUUAUAUUUUGUAUAUGUAUAUGUAUAAACAGCUUUUGAACUGUUUUCCGGCAUUGUGGAUUUAAUUUGGAACGUGCUACUCGAUGGGCAUCAUCGGGACUGCGUGCGCACCGGUAAUGAUUAUGGCAUUGAGGUAGGUUCGAGAUACAUCUCACCUUAGUGAGGGCACCGGUGGAAGAUACGUCUCCUGGGCUCACUAUUUAUUAAGUGAUAGUCGGGGAUCGGUUUUUGAGAUACGUCUCACCGACACGACAAUGGAUUUAGAAUUGUGGUUUAGGGUUUCAUUGAUAAUCCACAAUGAACUAAUGUUUUAUUAAACGUUUUUAAGGUUUUCAACUUAAUAAAUGUAAAUGGUUAUAUAAACUCUACUCAGUAAAUCUGACCCCGUUGUUUUCCCAAAUUUUCCAGGUUUAUGAUUUGAGCAUUAGUCGAUCUCCGUUUCUUCAUUCCCGGAGGUUCUUUAUUUAUUUUCAGAUUAAAAGAGUCGAACUGUUUUAAACUCUUAGACCGCAGUAGUAGUAUUGGAUUAUUUAUGUUUUAGUCUUAUACUUAAUGUUUUAGACUAUUGUUUGUUGAUAUAGUUCAACUAUGAUUUAUCGCUUUAGCAUGAUUACAGUGUUUAUGGAAUUAUAUAUAUUGCCAUGCUGUUAGACAUUAUUUGCAAUAAGCGUAUUUCAAAUA